RNAcentral lists this ribosomal RNA (506 nucleotides) under uncultured bacterium. Its description in RNAcentral is "partial 16S ribosomal RNA". It matches the Rfam family "Bacterial small subunit ribosomal RNA", at positions 29 to 523 of the family's 1533-position model. The record is from RNAcentral.
AGUGAACGCUGGCGGUAGGCCUAACACAUGCAAGUCGAACGGCAGCACAGGAGAGCUUGCUCUCUGGGUGGCGAGUGGCGGACGGGUGAGGAAUACAUCGGAAUCUACUCUGUCGUGGGGGAUAACGUAGGGAAACUUACGCUAAUACCGCAUACGACCUACGGGUGAAAGCAGGGGAUCUUCGGACCUUGCGCGAUUGAAUGAGCCGAUGUCGGAUUAGCUAGUUGGCGGGGUAGAGGCCCACCAAGGCGACGAUCCGUGGCUGGUCUGAGAGGAUGAUGAGCCACACUGGAACUGAGACACGGUCCAGACUCCGACGGGAGGCAGCAGUGGGGAAUAUUGGACAAUGGGCGCAAGCCUGAUCCAGCCAUACCGCGUGGGUGAAGAAGGCCUUCGGGUUGUAAAGCCCUUUUGUUGGGAAAGAAAUCCAGCUGGCUAAUACCCGGUUGGGAUGACGGUACCCAAAGAAUAAGCACCGGCUAACUUCGUGCCAGCAGCCGCCGUAA